GUCGGUGUAGUAUAGUGGUAGUACGCCGCGUUGUGGAGUUUCCAAGCAACACAAAUCCGCGUUGACGCUGGUUCGAUUCCAGCCACCGACA
Non-coding RNA from Borealophlyctis nickersoniae, 91 nucleotides. NCBI's taxonomy places the organism in Eukaryota, Fungi, Chytridiomycota, Chytridiomycetes, Rhizophlyctidales, Borealophlyctidaceae. The record is from the annotation of a GenBank genome assembly.